AGGCGCGAAAACUUCGCAAUGCGCGAAAGCGUGACGAGGUUAGCCCGAGUGCCAUCCGAUGAGGAUGGCUUUUCUUUGGUGUAAGGAGCCAGGGGAAUAAGAGGAGGGUAAGUCUGGUGUCAGCCGCCGCGGUAAUACCAGCUUCUCGAGUGGUGGGGGCGAUUAUUGGGCCUAAAGCGUCCGUAGCCUGCUUGUUAAGUCCCUCGUCAAAUCCGACGAUUCAAUCGCCGGGCUGCGGGGGAUACUGUCAAGCUAGGGGGCGGAAGAGGCUAGCGGUAUUCUUGGGGUAGGGGUGAAAUCCUAUAAUCCUAGGAGGACCACCAGUGGCGAAGGCGGCUAGCUAGAACGCGCCCGACGGUGAGGGACGAAAGCUGGGGGAGCAAACCGGAUUAGAUACCCGGGUAGUCCCAGCUGUAAACGAUGCAGACUAGGUGUUGGAACGGCUACGUGCCGCUUCAGUGCCGCAGAGAAGUCAUUAAGUCUGCCGCCUGGGGAGUACGGCCGCAAGGCUGAAACUUAAAGGAAUUGGCGGGGGAGCAC
This 540-nucleotide ribosomal RNA is filed under the name uncultured archaeon. RNAcentral's name for it is "bacterial SSU rRNA". It matches the Rfam family "Archaeal small subunit ribosomal RNA", at positions 337 to 879 of the family's 1478-position model. The record is from RNAcentral.